RNAcentral lists this long non-coding RNA (648 nucleotides) under Equus caballus (horse). RNAcentral's name for it is "lncRNA (ENSECAG00000040620.3)". The record is from RNAcentral. Lineage: Eukaryota; Metazoa; Chordata; Mammalia; Perissodactyla; Equidae.
CAGGGAAAGCAAGGUCAAUGACUCCAGGUAUUUGUUCUUGUCUCUGCCAUCAACCUGCUUGGUGUCCUUGGGUGAGACCCUUCAGACCAGGAUCUUCAUUUACAAAGUGAGAAUGGGAGCAGAGAAAGAAAAGUAACUAUUGUCAAUAGGAGUAACGCUGGAUUGGACAACUCCCGUCUUACUUCCUGAGGAGCAGCACUGUAGUAGCCAAGCAACCUGAAGGAUUUGAUAUAACAGCAGGAGUUUCCGGGCAAAGCCAAUGUCUGGGCCAGUGUUUGCAACCUGGAUAACAGCAUUGUUUUAGCAAUCAGAGAAUGGAAGCUGGGGAUAAAGUUUGAGUGAGGCUCGGGGAGACAAAACCAGCAUUCAUCUACAGCACAUGAAAAUGAAUUGGCCCAUCAGCUUUCAACUGAAUAUAGUAGCACUGUGUCUUGCUACAUACAGAGAGAGUGAAAGAAGGAGGAACAGAUCACAAGGUGUCACCCAGUUUUGCUGCAGCUCACGUGCUUCCAUGGGAGGACAUUUGCAUGGGCGUGACUACGAUUCAAUUGGUGAAUUUCAGAAGAAGAAGUGGUUAAUCUCAUUGCCAUCAGUACCAGAAGCAUGUCUAUGAAAUCUCCAGGAUUGCCACAAGGAUGAAAAUUUGUU